AGUUGAAUUUUAUGUACAUUGUUUAUGUAUGAACUUAGUUACAUUAUGUACUUUAUUACUUUAUAUAUCAAAAAGAUUAUAAUCAAAUGAAUAUAAUGUAGUUGUAUUGGCAUGAAGUUGAUGAUGAUGUUGAUUUUGUUUGAAUUCAUGUAGAAAUGGCAUCAUUUCGUGUCACUAUAGUAUGUUUUUGGAAUGGUUCUAUUCGAGAAAGUAGUGGCAAAAUUCAUUAUGUUGGGGGUAGAUGUACGUUGUUUGCAUGCAACUCAAACAUGGAUUUGAAUCAUUUUAAACGUUUUAUAUGUUCUAAGAUUGGAUUGGACCCCACUAGAAGUACUGUAAAUAUAAACUUUAAAUAUGACAUGAGUGGAGAAUUACUAGCCUUUCCGGUUGAAGAAGAUGAGGCGAUAGAUGCUAUGUGGGAGCAUUCAAAGUCUACCCAAAUACCCUCUUUGGAGUUAUACGUAGAAGAAGUACUCUUAGGGAAUGUAGGUUCUUCUAAUCCUUGUCCUACGUCUAUGCCCAUAUCAAUUCAUGAAACUCAAAAUCCCUUUGUUCCUUCCCCAUCAUGUACUCCUUCCCGACCCCCUCCGAAUCAAGUUUCAAGUGAUACAGUGAUUAACUUAGGAGAAAGUGAUGAAACGCGAGCUUGGGAUGAUGGUAAUGACUCAUUGAAGAUCCUUCUGAGAAUGAUGUGGAUGUCGAUGAGGAUGCCUUAGCAAAUGAUAUGACCUUAGCCAACAUUCCUACAAUUUUUGCUCCCACACCCUAUGCCCUAUGUCCACCUCUAGACGAGUAUGAGGAGGAAAAUUCCUAGAGGACUUGGGCCUGUGAUACCACUUACACCAAAGAAGGGGAGUUGGAGAAGGGUAUGAUGUCCGAUAGUAAGGAAGCUUUGUUGGAAGCUAUAAGAGUGUAUCAUAUUCGUAGAAAUAUGGAGUAUAAAACGGAGACUUCAAACUAAACCGUCCUUGCCUUGAAGUGUAAGCGGGGCUGUUCGUAUUCAUCUUCUUGGCGUAUUGUUACGUACAAUGGUAACAUGGGUCUUGGGUUUUGGGUAGUGACAUUGUCUUUGUUGGACAUAUUUACUUGACAUCUUCUAUCAUUAACAAUGUGAUAAGAAACUGUGUUGCCAAAGACCUAUCAAUUAAGGUAUCUGUCGUUAGGUAGAUGGUUAACGAUUGUUUUGGUAUAGAAAUAAAUUAUAAGCGAGCUUGGUGUGCUAAGCAACAAGCCUUGUUGUCCAUAUAUGGAACUUGGGAAGGUUCUUACUCUCUCCUUUCACGCUUUUUAAAAGCUUUGCAACAUUCCAACCCGGGCUUAGUAGUUGAGUGAUUUUUUAAGGAAGACAAUGACAUAGGUGUAUAUGUGCGACCUAAUAUUAGGACCUUCUAACGUGUCUUUUGGGCCUUUAAAUCUCUUAUCACCAUUGACGGCACACACUUGUAUGGUAAGUAUCGUCGUACCUUAUUGACUGUCGUUGCCCAAGAUGGUGAUAAGGGAAUAUUUACAUUAGCGUUUUCCUUGGUUGAGAAGGAGUGUAUAGGUGCAUGGUCUUGGUUCAUGGCUUGUAUUCGUAAACAUGUCUCACAGAGGAUGGGUUUAUGCGUUCUUUCUAAUAGACACGCGGGUAUUUUAGCAACCAUGGAAGAGCCAGAGUGGCAACCACCCUAUGCCCAUCAUAGGUUUUGCUUACGUCACUUGCUUAGCAACUUUAAUCGUGCUAUGGGUAAUGUUCAACUGAAGAAGUUGUUUGGUAGAACUGCUGGGCAAAGACAACAAGCUAAGUUAAGAAUGGCUUGAAGACAAUCGGGACUGCAAAACGAGAGGCAAUUUUCUGGAUUGAUGACGUGGGUGAGAUGUCUAAGUGGUCGUUGUGUCGUGAUGGAGGUCAUAGGUAUGGUGCUAGCUAAAGUUUUCAACUAUGUGAUGAAGGGUGUACGUUUGUUACCUUUGACAACACUAGUUGAAUUCACCUUCUAGCGGGCAAACGAUUAUUUCGUUCAAAGACGUGAACGUGCUAAUGCAUGGUUACUUGGAGGACACAUGUGAACGUGCUGAUGAGGGCAGCAUUUCGAGGUACGCCUUGGCGUACCUCUUAUAUUUGAUAGGAGCUGUCUUGUUUGCUGAUAAAAUAAACAUCCAAGUUUAGCUCCUAUAUUUGACAUUACUUGACGACCCCUAGGAGCGCAUCAUCGAGUAUAGUUGGGGCUCCGCGGCCCUAGGAUACUUGUACAGAAGGCUCUGUGGUGCUGCCAAGAAGAAUGUAAAGGAUAUUGUAAGACCCUAUUACAGGUAACAACAAUAACAUUUGAUUCUACUUUAUACUUGUUAAAUUACAUACUAAUUACAUUUGCUUUUGUUACUUGUGGGCGUGGGAGCAUAUUUUGAUCGGCCAACCUUGCAGAAGUGUUGAUCAUGGUGAAGCUGCUCCUCUGCAACAACCUCCACCUGAUGUUGCAUAUGGAUCACAGUGGAAUUUUGCGCGCCGAACGCGCAAUCACACACGGACCUAUCUAGGAUUCUACCGGGAUCAAUUAGACCUGCUGUGACCUAAUCAGUUUUUGUGGGACCCGUACCCUGCCAAAGCCUACGCAGCUAUGCCCGAGCACUCGGAGAUUUAGUUAGGUGCGUGGAGAGCUUAUGUGCCACUCAUAUGCUUUGACAUUGUCGAAGUAAAUCUAUCGGAGCGCGUACUACGCCAAUAUGAGUUGGUACAGGGCAUUCCACUACCUUGCGACACUAAACCCAACUUGCACCUGAUUUCGUGCAAGGAUCAGGGUACGAUGAAUUGGACGGAGAUCAACGGGCGCCACAUCGCUCGUUGGGAUCACAGACUGGAGCUACUAGCCCACGAUGCGCCAAUCGAUGUUGUUGGCGCGCCUACUACACGUGACUACAUGCCGUGGUUCUUCUCCAUCACUCGCCGAUGGAUAACACCACGUGGCAUCAUUACACCGACCCAUUAUGCUCCUGCAGCGCCUACGAUAACCUAAUUUGUGUGGCAGCCGUGAUCCGGUCUAGCCACGAGGAGCCAGUGAGGGAAAUUGCACAAGGCAUGCUCCUCAGCUAGCAGUUCCAACACUUCAUACCGGAAGUCGCAGCGGAGUCAUCAUCGGCUAUCGCCUAUGUGCACGUCUCAUCUCCUCCUUAUGACGUUCAUUUGUAUGAGAUGGACUUGUCAUACCCCAGUGACGUUGAGAGGACCUCGCAAGCUGGGCCAUCCCAACCAUCAAAAUACCAGUCCCCUCCCCUAUCAGAGCGACACACGAACGCUUCUUACUACUGUAGGAGGCGUAGGGGACCAAAUCAGUUGGAUAGGGUAGAUGAGGAUGAUGAUCGUUAGCUUUAGGUUUUUGUGUAUUUUGAUUGACUAUGUAUAUAUAUGUUUAUUUAGUUGUAUAUUUCAAACAUUUGUAUAUAUUUAGAAGCAUUAAAAAAAUCAACAA
Amaranthus tricolor (Joseph's coat) is the source of this 3446-nucleotide long non-coding RNA. RefSeq lists it as uncharacterized. The transcript has 3 exons. Lineage: Eukaryota; Viridiplantae; Streptophyta; Magnoliopsida; Caryophyllales; Amaranthaceae. The record is from RefSeq and is a predicted model, not a curated record.